GGCCCCGUCGUCUAGCGGUUAGGACGCCGGCCUUUCAAGCCGGAGGUCGCGGGUUCGAAUCCCGUCGGGGCUACCA
RNAcentral lists this transfer RNA (76 nucleotides) under Pseudomonadota bacterium. Its description in RNAcentral is "tRNA-Glu". It matches the Rfam family "tRNA". Rfam says of the family: Transfer RNA (tRNA) molecules are approximately 80 nucleotides in length. Their secondary structure includes four short double-helical elements and three loops (D, anti-codon, and T loops). The record is from RNAcentral. RNAcentral also lists the same sequence under 1 other name. Lineage: Bacteria; Pseudomonadati; Pseudomonadota.